Molecule: RNase P RNA, 426 nt
Filed under: Alcaligenaceae bacterium
Lineage: Bacteria; Pseudomonadati; Pseudomonadota; Betaproteobacteria; Burkholderiales; Alcaligenaceae
Description: Bacterial RNase P class A
Rfam family: Bacterial RNase P class A
About the family: Ribonuclease P (RNase P) is a ubiquitous endoribonuclease, found in archaea, bacteria and eukarya as well as chloroplasts and mitochondria. Its best characterised activity is the generation of mature 5'-ends of tRNAs by cleaving the 5'-leader elements of precursor-tRNAs.
Source: Rfam by way of RNAcentral
AGGGCAGAUUGGGCAGUCGCGGUAUCUCUUUGAGAUGUCGAGGAAGGUCCGGACUCCACAGGACAGGAUAACGGCUAACGGCCGUCCGGCGGUGCAUGCGGGUUCGCCUGAAUGUAUGAGACCGAGGAAUAGGACCACAGAGACGAGACUUCUGCGUGGGUCGUGCGCGCAAGCGCCCGACAUCGAUACGGCUAUCUCCGUAUGGCGUCGAUCGCAAGAUCGGCAACGCAGAAGGGUGAAACGCGGCAACCUCUAUCCGGAGCAACACCAAAUAGGCGUACGUGACGGCUUCGGCUGUCGUAGGGCGGUUCCGUCCGAGUGCGCGGGUAGGUGGCUAGACCAGGUCAGCAAUGGCUUGGCCAGAGGAAUGAUUGCCUGCCGGGGUGACCCGGUAUACAGAAUCCGGCCUAUAGAUCUGCUCUGCUU